RNAcentral lists this ribosomal RNA (253 nucleotides) under uncultured bacterium. RNAcentral's name for it is "partial 16S ribosomal RNA". It matches the Rfam family "Bacterial small subunit ribosomal RNA", at positions 524 to 776 of the family's 1533-position model. The record is from RNAcentral.
UACGUAGGGGGCUAGCGUUGCUCGGAAUCACUGGGCGUAAAGCGCACGUAGGCGGAUUGCUAAGUCAGGUGUGAAAUCCUGGAGCUCAACUCCAGAACUGCCUUUGAUACUGGCGAUCUCGAGUCCGGGAGAGGUGAGUGGAACUGCGAGUGUAGAGGUGAAAUUCGUAGAUAUUCGCAAGAACACCAGUGGCGAAGGCGGCUCACUGGCACGGUACUGACGCUGAGGUGCGAAAGCGUGGGGAGCAAACAGG